AAUGCUGAUAUUGUGCAAGACCUCGUCGCCAGCAAAAUAUUUGUUUGUCAUUAAAAAUAACUAAUCUGUAAAGAUGGAGUCUAAAGCACGCAUUGAGUAUUUCUUCAAAUAUACCAUUCUUCCUUUUUAGACAGAUGACCUGUCGAACAGACUGUUGACAGUGCUGUCAGUCAACCCUACCGAUGUGAAGGAGGUCCGCUACACCCUAGAGGUGUUAUUGCCUGAGGUCAUCAGCCAGUGGCUUCGUGUUCAGUUUGGGAUGAAUAGAUAUGAAGUCAAGUGUGUACUCCUAAAAAAAACGGCCAUCCCUUUACCACCAGAAAAAAUUGACAGUGUCAAGACAAACACUGACAGCAGCUCUAAGCCCCAAGACAAAGCUAUGCUGGAAUAGGAAGAAGGGGGGAGUUGCAGGCCGUUUUUGAUCUUUUGCAGCAAUGCCUG
This is a long non-coding RNA of Gadus macrocephalus (Pacific cod), 441 nucleotides long. RefSeq lists it as uncharacterized. The record is from RefSeq and is a predicted model, not a curated record. The transcript is spliced from 4 exons. NCBI's taxonomy places the organism in Eukaryota, Metazoa, Chordata, Actinopteri, Gadiformes, Gadidae.